AGUGAAAUAGCUGGGUUAAAUGGUGGUUUCAUUCCAGGUUUUCUAAGGAAUCUCCAUACUGCUUUCCAGAUUGGUUGUACCAAUUUGUAGUCCCACCAGCAAU
Molecule: microRNA precursor, 103 nt
Filed under: Marmota monax (woodchuck)
Lineage: Eukaryota; Metazoa; Chordata; Mammalia; Rodentia; Sciuridae
Source: RNAcentral